RNAcentral lists this unclassified non-coding RNA (309 nucleotides) under uncultured fungus. Its description in RNAcentral is "partial contains small subunit ribosomal RNA, internal transcribed spacer 1, and 5.8S ribosomal RNA". The stretch from base 1 to 73 matches the Rfam family "Eukaryotic small subunit ribosomal RNA", at positions 1759 to 1831 of the family's 1831-position model. Lineage: Eukaryota; Fungi. The record is from RNAcentral.
UCAAACUUGGUCAUUUAGAGGAAGUAAAAGUCGUAACAAGGUCUCCGUUGGUGAACCAGCGGAGGGAUCAUUACAGGAAGCGUCGAAAGACGUCUCUAUACACCACUGUGAACCUACCAUCGUCGUGCUUCGGCAGGCGGGCAGAUAUGUCUCCUCAUAUCUGCUCUAUGAGCCUCGGUGAGGUGCCUGCCGGAGUGCAAACUCAAAAACUCUUGAAAUCAUUGUGGAGCAUCAGACAACCCAAGAAAAUAAAUUGUAACAACUUUCAACAAUGGAUCUCUUGGCUCUGGCAUCGAUGAAGAACGCAGC